UGUCUCAGAAAGCACUGGAGCAGCUCUUGCACGCUGACCGCUUCUUUAAGAAUGACUUUGCUGUAGUUUUGCAGCCAUUCCUGAAACACGCAGAUCCUCCAAGUCUCCCUAAUGGGAAGAUUGAUAUGAGCUUUUUUACUCCGGACUGUUUCCACUUCACCAUGAAAGGACAUGAGGAGUUAGCCAAGGGACUGUGGAACAACAUGUUUCAACCUGAGGGGGAGAAGUUCAUGGUGGAGAGUUUUUCAAACCCUAUUGAGCUCAUUUGCCCCAUUGUGAGUCAUCCAUACAUUUACACCAGACCCAGUGCUGCAAAGUCAGGCACAUCACUUCCUGAGAUGCCCCAGUCAGCUGGCAUCAGACUAACUGUUCUCCACCUCAUCUUGGCUUUCCUUCCACUGUGGUUGGCUGUUAAUCUGGCCUCCUUGUAGCACAUCCAUAUGGAGUAUCAUGGUACAUCAUGUCUGCCCACCCAAUGUUCUGCUUGGGCUUAAUAUCAUUGCUUUGAACCAUUGAGGAUCUAUUCUGAGACUUGAGCCACUGCAGGAUGGUCUAUGAUGAAACUGAUAAUGAGGGAGUAAAAGAUAAUUAAGUUAUCAAAAAUGAACAGGAAAUUGGAGUUGGCAAAAUAUGAAGACUUGGUUACAGUCAAUAUCAUAUUGAAUUGCUCUGUAGAGUUUAUGCAAUGGAAAUGGGAAUGUUGAAACCUCAGAAUAGAAAAAUAUAUGCUAAUGUGAUGACCUUUUCUGAUAUACCCAACCGAAAUAGCACAAGAGCAGGUGCAAAGCCACUUUUAGCUUGGCAUAAUGCUGCUAUAAUUAAUUUAGGUAUGAAAGGUAACUGUAAGCUAAUUCCGGAUGGUUUGAAUAAAAAUGGCCAGAGGUUACACCGUAAACUCAUUAAGCCUAGAACUUGAAUGUUGACUGAGAACAGCUGUUUUGCUUCUGAGAGCAUGGUGAAAAGUAAACUGUUUGAGAGCUUAAUACUCACAAUAAUAAGAUAAUUGCUUUGGAUGCUGCAACAUGAGAAGUGCUUUUGGUCUUCUCAAAUAAAGCUUUCAGAAGGGGUACUUACCUGUUUUCCUUCCUUUUUUUUUCUUUGAAAGUAAUUUUAAGAUAUGCUUUUUUUUCUAUACAACUGAAGGUUCUUCAUGGAUUUUUGAAUGAAUUCUUCUAUUACCAAUCAAAGAACCCAUCUUUAUAGUUGUAGUUAGCAGCUCCUAAAGGUUCUUGGAAACAGCCAAACAAAUAAACAAGAGUAAUUUAAAUUAAUUAUAGCAAUGCAAUUAUAUUGGUAAUAAAUAAUGUAAUAAAUAUGUUCAUGUUUUGUCAGUCUGUUUGAUUCUGUCUGCAUUUGUCCAAACUUAGCUGAGUGCUGCAUAUUCAUUAGAAUUAUUAUCAUUCAAAGUGGAUGUGUUUUGACCCACUUUAUACCUCAGAACUGUCAGUGAAUUGCUAAUAUUAGCCUGUUUUUCUGUUUUAAAGCCUUUUUAAAAUAAGUACACAAC
Molecule: long non-coding RNA, 1507 nt
Filed under: Sinocyclocheilus anshuiensis
Lineage: Eukaryota; Metazoa; Chordata; Actinopteri; Cypriniformes; Cyprinidae
Description: lncRNA (ENSSANG00000021772.1)
Source: RNAcentral